This 71-nucleotide transfer RNA is filed under the name Cordylochernes scorpioides. RNAcentral describes it as "tRNA-Gly". The record is from RNAcentral. Lineage: Eukaryota; Metazoa; Arthropoda; Arachnida; Pseudoscorpiones; Chernetidae.
UGCAUCGGCCGGGAAUCGAACCCGGGCCGCUCGCGUGGCAGGAGAGGAUUAUACAACUGAACCACCGAUGG